GCAAGAAUCCCACAUGGGUUUUGAGUCUCCCUCUCCGAGAGAGCUCCUUAGCCUUUCGAGUUUCCUUAUUUUGAGUUUCCCUGCCAUUAUGAAGGGAGAACGAACUAGGCCUUCCUGUUUUUCUCUUUACGCUACUGUCUGGCGAGCUUCGAUGGCCCUCUUUACGCUACUGUCCGAAGGGGAGCCUGUCUCCUCUUCGAAGAUUCUAGCGACCUUCCUGUUUUGCCCUUCAAGAUUUUGGUGACCUUUGGUGGCCCUGUUUACGCUGCUGCCCAAAGGAGAGCAUGUCUCCACUUCGAAUGAAGGUCUCGAUGGCCCUGUUUUGCUUUCCCCUCCUUGGUUAGCCCUCCAAGAUUCUUGUGACCUUCGAUAGCCUUGUUUAUGUUGUUGUUUGAAGGAGAGCUUGUCUCCUCUUUGAAGGAAGGUCUCGAUGGCCCUGUUUUUCCCUCUCUGUUUUGCCCUUCAAGAUAGCCUACCUUGAUCAGGAGAUCUUGCUAUUUUCUAGCGACCUUCCAAGGAAGUAUAAUCAAUUCUUUUUGCAUGGACACAUGUACUACAUGCUACCUCGUAGAUCUUAUCAAUGAUAAAUCUGAUAGAUUAUGUCCGCCCGUCACUUGCAGUAGUUCUCAUCUAAGAAUUAUUUUACUGUAUUUUUUUGCAUGCUCAAAUGGGAAUAAUUGUGUAAAGUGUCUGUGCCUUCGUAUUUCAAUGGGAUUUUUUAUUGUAUUUUUUUGCAUGCUUGACUGUGAAAGUGUGUCUCUUCAUAUUUCAGUGGGAUUAAUCGUGUAAAGUGUCAGUCUCUUCAUAUUUUCAGUCAGUGUUUGAUUGACUAGGUGAAUAGCCAUAAUAAUUUCUUCUCCUCGGUAGAUGGUAUUUGUUUGUUGAUCAUUUUCUAUAUAUACCUUCUUAUAUGAAAUUCAUACUACUGAAACCACCAUUCUCUCUUUGCACUUCUACUACUCUCUUUUUACUUUUCUGGUACUGCCUUUCACUGUUCUCCUUCUAUCUUCCUUUGUUUCCAUUCUUGCUGUUUGGGUUCUUGCCUAGGUUCUUCUGGUUGCAACAAAAAUUAGGUCAGCAUGUUAUUAGAUAAAACAUUUAUUACUUCUAUAAUUGUUGUUUAGUGCUCCAUUAUAUUGCUGGCACUAUGCUACUCCCAAAAUCUUUUUCUACAGCCUUGUCUUUUUCGUGCCAGGCCUCAUUGACAGUCACACUACAUCAUCCUUCCACUGUUCUCCUUCCAUCUUCCUCUUAUCAUGUUCUUGUCGUUUGGGUUCUUUUGGUACUACCUUUUACUCCAUUGCAAUAAAAAUUAGGCCUCAUUGAAGAUCACAUUGAACCAGCCUUCCACUGUUCUCCUUCUAUCUUCCUCUCAUUCCAUUCUUGUCGUUUGGGUUCUUCUAGUACUGCAUUUUACUCAAUUGCAAUAAAAAUUAGGUCUUCAUAUUCUGUUCUAUAAAUUUUGCCUAGUUUUUCUUGCCUGCUACACAAACACAAUCAUGCAUGAAUGUUCUAUUUUGAUGGCACUGACUGAUAAAAAUAAGAUCCUUUCUCCCCCACAAGAGAGAUUUACACCUAUCAAGGAAUAAAAGUAUCAAUUGGUAUAAACCGAUAGGCAUUGAUUUUUGUCUGGGUUCUUCUGGUACUACCUUUUACUCCAUUGCAAUAAAAAUUAUGUCUGCAUGUUAUUAGAUAAAACAUUUAUUACUUCUAUAAUUAUUGUUUAGUGCUCUAUUAUAUUGUUGGCAUUGUGCUACUCCCAAAAUCUUUUGCUACAUUGUAAUAAAAAUUAGGUCUGUUAUUAGAUACAGGGACGGAGCCAGGGGUGGUGGAGGGGAGCCAUGGCCCCCCCUAUGCCUUCAAAAUUCCCUUUAAAUCUAUUUAAGUUCCACUUGUAUUUUAGCCCCUUUACUCAUGUUCCCUUGCUUUUGGCCCCCCCUGUUCAUGUUUUCUAGGUUUUGCCCCCCCAAAAAAAAAUCCCAGCUCCGCCACUGAUUAGAUACAAAAAUCAACAAUUUUAUAUUUCAAACCAAGUUCUUUUUUCUAUACUGAUAUUGAACUCUAAUAUUUAUGAUGUUUUGACUUGUCUUUUUUGUGAUAGGCCUCAUUGAAGAUCACAUUGAAUCAGCCUUCCAUUGUUCUCCUUCUAUCUUCCUUUCAUUCCAUUCUUGUUGUUUGGGUUCUUCUAGUACUUACCUUUAAUUCCAUUGCAAUAAAAAUUAGGUCUUCGUGUUCUGUUUCUAUAAAUUUUAACUAGCUUUUUUUGCCUGCUAUACAAAUACAAUCAUGCAUGAAUGUUCUGUUUUGAUAAUGAUGACUAAUAAAAAUAAGAUCCUUUCUCCCCCACAAAAGAGAUCUAUAUUUAUCAAGGAAUAAAAGUAUUAAUUGAUAUAAACUGAUAGGCAUUGAUUUUUGCCCGGGUUCUUUUGGUACUACCUUUUACUCCAUUGCAAUAAAAAUUAGGUCUGCAUGUUAUUAUAUAAAACAUUUAUUACUUCUAUAAUUUUUGUUUAGUGCUCCACUAUAUCGUUGGCAUUGUGCUAUUCCCAAAAUCUUUUGCUACAUUGUAAUAAAAAUUAGGUCUGUUAUUAGAUACAAAACUCAACGAUUUUAUAUUUCAAACAAGUUUAUGAUGUGUUGACUUCUGCACACUAGUUUUGAAUUUUAAUGUCUUCGAUCUACUUCUCGUUGUUUAAUAUCAUCACCUUGGGGAGUUCGAAUCUACAGAUGAUGUUCCUUUAGAAGAAAUUCUAUACAUUGUGAGUUGUGAUGGAUACCAACAGCUCGACUUCCAUUCACUUAGUAAAAUAGUCUUCCACGACCACCAAGAACCUCCUCUGCCCGGUGGAAGGUGGGAAGGGACCAAGAAUACUUAUCCCCCACUAUGUGAAUGGCCACAGGCUAGUAAGGUACCUCAGGUUAGCGAAGGCUUAUUUGUUAUGUUAGCAUGCCGCUAACAGUUGUUGCACUUCCGGUCUAACUCCAUUGCAUCUGCCUUCAUUGUGGGCCAGUAGUAGCCUUCAUGGAUCUCACGUAACACGUAGUUCGCUUCUAUUUGUCACAACCGGCACAAGUAGGGGAGCAUGAACGACCUGCGAUACAUUUGCUCACCAAUGAUAACAUAGCGAGCGGGGUGUAGAUUGUUAAUGAGCGGGUCGAUCCAACUUGGUUCUGUAGCCAAAAUAGGAGCAAAUGUAAUUUAUCCUCCUUAUAAUGCUAGGUUAUGGCAGGUCUUCAAUGUAAAUUAUCCUCCUUAUAAUGUCUGUCGCACCGACCAUCUUUGAGAGCGCAUUGGCCUCGAUGUUUUCAGAUGUCGAGACUUACUAGGUGUACCAAGAGCGGAAGUUGGGCAGGAGCUCUCUAACCUUGGCUAGAUAGGCCGACAUAGUCGACUCUCGGGCCUCAUAUUGCUCGUUUACUUGGUUCACCAGUAGUUGUAAUACUACAUACAACGAGAUGCUUCACGCCGACCUCCUUUACCAAUGAUAGCCCGGCUAUUAGCGCCUUGUGCUCAUCUUCAUUGUUUGAGGCUCAGAACAUGAAUCAGAGAGCGUACUCCAAUUUCACUUCGCUAGGUCCGUAGAGGAUUAGUCUAGCUCGACUUCCACACCAAGAGUCAUCCACAAAGAGGAUCAAGGGCACCACGUCCCAAGUUGGGUUGGGUGUCGCACUAGUAGUAGCCUUUGAGGUGGUCAUAGGCUCCGCAACUCAAGGGUUAGUGUGCUUAAGGUACACUCGGUGACGAAGUCUGCCAGGAUCUGUGCCUUGAUCGCUGGGCAUGGAUCAAACUAGAUAACGUAUUCACUGAGCUUGAUUGCCCAUUUUGUCAACCUUUCUAAGACCUCGGGCUACUAAAGAACUCGCCUCAGAGGUCAAUUGGUUAGGACUACAAUGGUGUGGGCCUGUAAGUAAGGGCACUCUAUUUGGGCUGCUAACACCAAUGAGAAGGCAAACUUCUCAAUAUUGGGAAACCUAGUCUCAACAGCAUGUAGGACCUUCCUCACAUAAUAGACAGAUCGUUGCACUCUAUCCACUUCGCAGAUUAGGACCAAGAUGACUACCUCAUCACUCGUAGAGAGGUAGAGUUUUAGCUCAUCUCCAAGUUUGGCCUGGUCAACAAGGGCGAUGAACUUUAAUACCUUUUUAGCUCGCCAAACAUGAGUUGACACUUUUUGGUUCAUUUGAAGUCUUGGUUAUUUUUUAUGGCUUUAAAGAAUGGAAGGCACCGCCUAGCUGACUUUGACAUAAAUCGGUUCAGGGCGGCUAUCCGGCCUGUUAGCCUUUGGACCUCUUUAAUCAUCCUAAGGGGUCUCAUAUCUAGGAUGGCCUAGAUUUCGUUCGGGUUGGCCUCGACGCCAUGUCGGUUCACUAUGUACUCAAGGAACUUUCCCAACAAGACUCCAAUAACGCACUUAUUCAGGUUGAGUUUCAUGUUGUAUUUUCUUAAAAUAUCAAAAAUACAAUUUACAUAAGAAAUUAAAGAAUUUGAAAAUUGGGUUUUCACAACCAUAUCAUCAACAUAUGCUUCUAUUUUAUUAUCAAUUAAAUCAGAAAAAAUUUGUUUACAAGGCGUUGAUAGGUCGCUUCAGCGUUUUAAACCAAAGGGCAUAACUUUAUAGCAUUACAAGCCCGUUUCAGUUAUAAAGGUAGUGUCUCCUAGUCGGUUGGAUCCAUUUGGAUUUGGUUGUAGCCAGAGUAACUAUCCGUGAAGCUCAACAGCUCGAACCUUGAGGUCGAGUUUACCAAGUGGUCUAUCCUAAGGAGUGGGUAGUUGUCCUUUGUGUAGGCUCUAUUGAGGUCAGUGUAAUCGAUGCCCAUGCGCCAUUUGUCAUUGGCCUUCUUCACGAGCACUAGAUUUGCAAUCCAACUUGGAUUUUAGACCUCUCUAAUUAAGUUUGCUAUGAUGAGCUUCCCUACCUCCUCAUUUACUAUCCUUCACUGCUCUUGGGUGGGGUUCUUUUUCCUCUACCGGACUAGUCUAAUUAAAGGGUCAACAUUCAACAUAGGAAUUGUAAGUAGGGAGUGGUCUCCUUGAAAGACAGAGGAAGACUAGGAGCAGAGAAUCAACCAAGAGGUUUGGGCCAGGGAGGUGAGGAGAUGAUUGGAUAGGGAAUCUGAUGAUAGGGUUGAUUAAGAGUCAAAUGGAUGAAUUUCGUUAUGAGGGAGGGUCCAUAUUUAAAGGGAAGGAUCUUGAGAUCCUGAAAAGGAGCCAAAACCAUUUGUUUUCUACUAGGAAGGAGAAUAUUAGAUUCGUUGUUAGCCAAUAAGGAGUGCUGCUAGGGUUUCACCACGUGUUCUUAUGGGAUCUCUUGAAGGUUGACUUUCCUUUCACCUAGAGAUCCUCAUAACCCACGUGUAUUACCGCCUUUCGCGUCUCACUUAACUGACAUGGCAUUAAUGAUGUCAUCGCCUAAUAGGUAGCCUUUUAUUAAACCUAUGUGGCACCCGGUCAUGCAUGUAACUUAAAGUUUCACGUGCAACCAAUAUUCAGACCCGAUUUUGGGGAACCGUAGCUCAGUAACGAUUCAGGGUUUAUUGUGGGCGUGUAAUGAACCGUGGGUUCAUUGCAGACCUACGAUGCACCGUAGGUUCAUCACAGACCUGCAGUGUGUUGUAGGUUCAUCGCAAGGACCGAUUGGCUAUGGGUUGAUUGCAAGCGUCCAUGUGGUGUCAAUCCAGUGUUUAUUGUGCUCUUAGGGACUUAGUGAGCACUGUGUACCUACAUUAGCCCCCCUGCUUAUCUGUAAGUGGAAUCUUAUUGAUAAGCAUUUUGUCUUUGGAUUUGCUUUGAAGUUCUAUGAUGAGUCGAUGAAUACCUGUGCAUUGGAUUUGGAAAUCUACUCUGUUUUGGGAUUUCAUGUGGUUAGUAGAAAAUUAAAUUAGGCUUCUGUCAGCCCCCCUACCUGUUGAUAGGUCGGGAGUCGGUUACUUGAGCGGUCGUGUGUCUUUGUGUGUUAGCGUUUGUUCUUCAAUUGGAUUUCCUCUCUUCUGGAGUCUAGCCCCCUGUCUUUUGAUGAUUUGCUUUUUGUGAAUGGGCAACUCAGCAUUGGAUUUGCGAGUUUCAGCCCCCUAGCCAUUGAUACGAAGGAAAUUAGCAAAAGGCAUUAUCGUUGUUGUACCAAUGUGGGCGGUAGUCCCCCUUGUGUGUCAGGGUGAUGCCUUUUGUGGCUGCACAGUGUCAAUUGAAAGUGUAGGUCAGUGACGGAUGAAAGUCGAAGAAGAGAUUAACUGACGAUGACGUGGCAGGUAUCAUUAGCAUUUUCCUAACUGUCAUUUCGUAAUAAAUGCAGUCUAUUUGUGCGUGUGACACGGAUUUGAUAUCUAAUAUUUUAAGUGUCAGUUGAUGACAUGGCACUUUGCUUAAAUUAAUGCGCCAUUUCAUCCUGCCUUUGAAGGGCAUAUCUAUAAAUUUCUUUAGAUUACUUUUUCGUUAAGUACUCGUGCUUGUUCAUCUUCCUCAGUGUCGUUUGUCAUUCCCGACAUGUGGGAGCUGUGUUUAAAAGGACAGGGGUCUUCGUUGGAUUGUCACUUCGUCCUCUCGCUAUCUUCGUCAAAGUUUUACUCCACGACCCACUUUGUGCCAUCGUUCUCAUUUUCCAAUUCAACCAUUGUCUAUCGGCCAUGGCCCCAUGCCAAAAGGAAGUUGAAUGUCCCUUUGUUGACUUUGUCCGAGAAGUUGAUAUCGCUGAGUUAUUGCUGAGUUAUUGUCAGAGCAUGAAUCAGCCAUGGUGACCGAUGGGGGACGAGGUGUAGAUAGCCAGUGCCACCUUGCUGCCUUUAUUUUGUAUGUGGCCUCCCGCUUCCUUUUCCCGGGGCUUUCCGACUAUGGCUUGUGCAUAGUCUUAGUCCGUCUUGCCAUUCUCGCUGCUAGUGGCCACCAACUGUUGUUGGCCUUAAUAUUUUUUGGGGUAUUUCUACGAACAGAUGGACGACACCGUCCAACAGUUAAUGGACCCUAGUUGUAGGAGGCACAUCAGCUAUGUUUGUAUGCCAUUUCUGUGGAUGUUCUUGUGUGAACGCUUCGACCUCAACGUCACGCCUCGUCCUCUCUCCCCGAUGUAUGUCACUAUUGCCACCAUGUGUUGGCUUCUAGCAGGCAUAAGCAAUUCAAAAUGAGUGAGAUCGACCUGAGGUUGACUUCCCUUGAAGAAUUCGUAUGGAGGCCAUACACCCAAGCCAUCCGUCAUGCAAUGCCGUUCUGCGUUGGUGCUCCAAUCCCCAAGGAUGGCGACCAGCAAUGCACAAUGGAAGUCAACAGUCCUGGUGGGCGUGAUGCGAUUAGUAACUUGGUCCGGUGUCAUCGCGUACCUUGAUCACCCAGGUGAGGCUCAACUAAGUGCUUAUCGACUAGACUAGCUACUUCGCCAGUUUGGUUACGAUGAUAUGGGCAACCAAUUUUUAUGAUCAUCAAGAGGAGAUGUCUUCUGGGUUCGAUGCCAUGAACAUGCCGCCUUUCCUAGAUUUCAAGGUUCCCUGUUGUAGGGUAUUCUCGGGUUCAGGGUUGCAAAUCCCUUCAUUUUGCACACUUGUGCACGUUGUUCGAGGGUUUUCAAGAGCUGAUGAGGUCAAACUCCCACCCCCGUCGUGUCUUAGCCCCCUUGAAGGUGAGAGUUUAGCUGCUCCUCCGUCACACUCGCCGAAGAACGCAAGGACGGAGCAUGAGGGAAAGCACCCAAUUUUGGCAGAGGGAAAGAGUAGCCACCCUCCUCCGGUGAAAAGGCCAAAGUCAGCAAGGGUGCCUCGUUGAACGCAGCCACCAGUUUUUCAACGACCUGCUAGUUCGAACGUGGCUUCAUCGCAUGCCGAACCAAGGCCAGGCAAGAACCCUCCGCCUCAACACCCAUGGAGAAUGAUGCGCCAGACAUGGAAUCAAUGCAGUCGGCGAUUGUUGUUCCUCCACAGAAAGUUACCUAUGUCCGUUUCUCAAGCGGACGUGUGAAGAAAAUGGCUCCCCGUCCUCAGAAGAGGGGGCCAGUAGAAGAAGAUUCGGUAAGGGAGCUUGUCUCUGUUCCUGUUGUUUUAUUACUAUUGCAUCUAACUUUUCUAUAUUAUGACUGAUAUGUCUGGUUUUUAUUUUGCAAUCUAUGGAAACUGGCAAAGUUUUGUCAGGUUACUUAAGUUAUGUUCCAGAAUCCCCUCUCGAGGGUGUAAGUAUGCAAGUACAUGUAUAUUUGCUUUUCAUUUACUUGCGCUUGGUUUAUACUAACCAUUGUGUUUGACCUCAUCAUAGACUCCUAGGGAAAUAAACCCCUCUGAUCCAGUUCAGCCAGUCAUUAGGCGACUGCCACAAGUGGUGCAGUCGUCGCAGCCCCCACUCAGGUUCACAAGGCUACUGAAACUGUUGGCAUCGAUGACACGGCUCUAGAUACUGUGGCGUGGGAAAAGGAAGGCCCACUAGUGGAAUUCUUGUUAUUAGAGGCACCUGACUAGAGGCGGUCAGCAAAAAAAUGCCUUUAUAAACUACUAAAAGAGGUAGCUUAAUUUAGAUAGCAUUAGAGGCACUUUUAAAUGCCUCUUAAUUUUAUUUUGUAAUUUCACUUUUGGCCAAAACAUUAACAUUUCGUGCAUGAGUUUUCUCCUCCUCUUUUCCUCGCUUUCAUUUUUUUCUCUCCCGUUUCUUUUCCUUCUUCCUUUCCUCUCUUCUUCUCUUUCUCUCCUCUCGAGUGUGCAAGAUCUCCGCCAUUCGCAGUUCUUAGUUAGGGUCUCAAUCAGUUCUGAGUUCCACCAUUAAAGCAAGUUCUCCGCCAUUGAAGAAAGUUUGUCUUCUCAGCUUCAACACCAUUGUUUCUCAGAGUUCUCAGCUUCAUCAGGGUUUUGGAUAGGUAAACCUUUUAACAUUGCUCAGCCUUUGUUGAUGAUCUGUGGUUUCCCUUUUGUUUAUAGAGCUUGAAUUAAUUAUUUCAAAUUUUUGAGUUUUUAAAUUCGUAAUUUCCAUUAUUGAGCUUCACGGAUGAGAGAGCUCGUGGUAUAGUGUAGGUUUGUGCAACCUACUUUGGAAUUUCUUUUGUAGGUUUGUGCAACCUAUAGUGUAAGGACGAAACGGGAAGAGGGUCGUGUCGUGGUAGUUAGGCCGGAAUACAGCAGACGGAUAAUGUACGAAGUCCGGCAGUGAGGUACUACUGUUGGUUGCUUUUCGUUGUUUGCGUUAGUUGGUUCUUUAUAUUAGAGAUUCUGAUUUCGUCAUUGGAGAGAUGGGGCUUUUGUUGAGAGAAGCUCUGAGGUGUCUCUGCGGCGUGAGUAGAUGGUCGUAUGCGGUUUUCUGGAAGAUCGGUUGCCGGAAUCCGAAGCUUUUGGUUUGGGAAGAAUGUUAUUAUGAGCAUGCAUGGUAUUCCCUAAAAAGUCACCUUUCUCUUUCUUAGCUUGGGUGUCAAGUGGAUGAAGUUUGUUCUCUAGUUAACAAGAUGACGAUAAAUAACCAGGUCCAUGUGGAGAUGCUUGGUGAAGAACGGGGAUUGUUUCUUGAGAUUGCUGAUAUAAUUAGAGGGUUAGGGCUGACCAUUCUGAAGGGGGUAAUGGAGACCCGAUUUUGGGCAUGAUUUGCAGUUGAGGCAAAUAGGGAUGUGACAAGGGUGGAAAUAUUUCUUUCGCUGGUGAGCUUGUUAGAGCAAACCAUGAAGAACGGUUCAAUAGCAGCCAAAGGCAUUGACAAUGGCACAAUGAUAAAGCAUAACAACUUCCACCAAGCUUCCUUUCCAGCAACUGGUCGGGGGAUGGCAGUGAACUACCUCGUAAUGGUUCUCUUGAUUCCGACGUGUUGCAAGCAGGCUUGAACUUGAUGUUGGUCUGCCAUGACUAGCAUGAAAUCUGGCAUCUCGGAUGGUUCUAACACUGAGUUGUUUGGCUGAUUUUUGCAUUUUGUGAACCCGACACUAACUGACCUCUAAGGGAGGAGUGGUUUAGGGUGGGUAAAGCUCCUCAACAGCGUGGAUAGGGGCAAAUUUUCUUUGCAUGUUUCUUGGACCUAGAAACUAAAGCCAAUAUUAGGUCUGGUAUAAAGAAAAAUAUAUCUACAGGUUCUUGAUAGCAGUAGCACAAUGACAGUGGCCAGUGGGUGCCCUUGUUUAUCUAGAGAUGAGAUAAUAGAAGAAGGGGGUUGUUUUCUUUUCUUUUUUUGGGGAAAAGGCUUGUGUUUUGAUAGUAGUCCCCCUCUCGCUGAACUUGGGGGUAUGGAUGCAGUGUCUCUGACUAUUUUAGUUUUUUGGUUAUAGUCUCCUUUGUCGUAGCUGCAUGUUAAAUGUAAAUUAAGGGUGGGAAAUGAAAAUCAAAGGGCUGAGGUGUAUAUUUUAUCAAAAAAAUAUAUUAGCUUUUGUUUGGAUUGUAUUAAAUUCGUUCAGAUAUGUCCUGGCUAUUGGAUUUGAUUAGCUUGAUCUAUUAGGGUCAAAAGUGUUUUGGUUGGAAUUUAGUUAGUUGGAUUUAGUCUUAGAAGCGGGCUAUGGCAUGCUUCUUGGUUGAUAAAAUAUAUAGGAACAUGCUAAUUAAGAAAAUAUGGACAAAAUCAGUUAAAUACUACGAUUUUGGGGUAGAAAUAAUAUUUUAUGAGAGAUUUUUUACUUUAAAUUGUUUUGCUUUUUUUAAUAUUCAACUAAAUAAUUAAGCUUUCUUGAAUUUUAGAGAGCAUUGUAAAUUUGUAACUAAUAUAUUUUGUUUUUUUUUUCAUUUUUUCAAUUUUGAAGCCCUUUGCAUGAGGCAUAUGCCUCAUGAGGAGGAUAGGUGUUUUGGCUCUGCCUCACCUCAAGGUGUGUCAGUGCCCCGCCUCAAAUUCUUUUUUGAAUUGUAGUUGUGUGUAAUAAAGUUGGGAGAUAUGGAGAAACUUUAAUAUUUAUGAAGAAGAUGAUGAGCUAUUUGUGUGGCACAAUUGGUAUACAGAGAAACUUAUAAUCCGUAGUGAGAGAGAGAAAGAGAGAGGAGAAAGGUUUAAAGCUAUUCGUGUGGCACAGCUAGUAUCACCUCUACUUAUUCACUGAAACCACCUUCACAGAUUAAGAAUAUAGGUUUGUUAGUCAAGAUAAGGGAGGGGAGAAAGGUUUAAAGAAAAGAACAUUCAAUGCAUUGUUUGGAUGACCUCCAAACUUGAUUUUUCUUUAUGGUUUUACCAUUUUUCUUCCUAAUUUGUCUUCUCCAGUUGCCACAUUUCUAUUUGUGAUAUUUUGUGAAAUUAAAGGUCAUAUUCUUCUUUAAAUAUAAAUAAUUACUAUCAAUUUUUUCUAUCGUGCAGUCAGAGGAAGUCAGGUUAUGUGAUCAAGAGGAGCGGGAAUAGCUUGAAAGGAACAUAAGAGAAAAAAAGGAGUGUUGUUCGGAUCUGUUCUCUCAUUUGUUGAUAAGUUGAUUCAAUUGAUGCAGAAGUGAAAGGCGGAAAGGAAAGUUGGAUCCAUUCCUUACUAGAUUUGUAUGGUCUAUCCAGAACGGCUCUUAUUUAUUUUAACCGCUCUGUCUGGUAGCUGUUAUGACGAAAGAGCAAUCAGAUUACACAAAUCCAUUUGAAUCUGGCUCAAUUCCAUUUCCCUGUGAAAAUCUGCAGCAAGUCCAAACCCAAUUAAUUGUUGAAUUGAGCCCAAGGGCCACAACACUAAGCUUAUUCUAGCAAGCCCAAGAAGUUGGUUGCCAACUCAUGUAGGUCUCAUGUGAUUUUUGAAAUAGUAAAGAUUUUUUUUUUCUUAAAGAAAGAUGAUUUUAUACGAAAGAUUUUCCCAGUAUAAUUUGAUUGGAUCAUCAA
Nelumbo nucifera (sacred lotus) is the source of this 11713-nucleotide non-coding RNA. Lineage: Eukaryota; Viridiplantae; Streptophyta; Magnoliopsida; Proteales; Nelumbonaceae. The record is from RefSeq and is a predicted model, not a curated record.